This 327-nucleotide unclassified non-coding RNA is filed under the name Hevea brasiliensis (rubber tree). The record is from RNAcentral. Lineage: Eukaryota; Viridiplantae; Streptophyta; Magnoliopsida; Malpighiales; Euphorbiaceae.
UAUAAAAAGUUUCUUUUCAUUUAAUAAAAAUGCUCUUUGCUCUUCAACAUUUAUUUUUCUAACAGUUUUAUCAUGCAAUUUCCGUCUCCAGUAUUUCCUAAUCAAGUUUCAAAGCUUGAAUUUCAGGAGAGUAGAAGUCCCAUCUAGGCCUUUGGUUUUGAAAUGGUCAGAGUACUCUCUCACGGUGGUUUCCCUGUACUUAGGAGGAUUCUCUUCUGAUAACAACUCCUUAAUAGGACCAUAGAGUCUUGAUGUUGGCUUCAGAUUUGUGCUAAAGAAGCAAGCCACAGAUAUUCUCGGUCCUACACGGUUUGCCACCACCCUAUG